RNAcentral lists this ribosomal RNA (465 nucleotides) under Vreelandella stevensii. RNAcentral describes it as "partial 16S ribosomal RNA". It matches the Rfam family "Bacterial small subunit ribosomal RNA", at positions 338 to 795 of the family's 1533-position model. The record is from RNAcentral. Lineage: Bacteria; Pseudomonadati; Pseudomonadota; Gammaproteobacteria; Oceanospirillales; Halomonadaceae.
CCUACGGGGUGCAGCAGUGGGGAAUAUUGGACAAUGGGCGAAAGCCUGAUCCAGCCAUGCCGCGUGUGUGAAGAAGGCCUUCGGGUUGUAAAGCACUUUCGGUGGGGAAGAAAGCCUUGGGGCUAAUACCCUCGAGGAAGGACAUCACCCACAGAAGAAGCACCGGCUAACUCCGUGCCAGCAGCCGCGGUAAUACGGAGGGUGCGAGCGUUAAUCGGAAUUACUGGGCGUAAAGCGCGCGUAGGCGGUCUGAUAAGCCGGUUGUGAAAGCCCCGGGCUCAACCUGGGAACGGCAUCCGGAACUGUCAGGCUAGAGUGCAGGAGAGGAAGGUAGAAUUCCCGGUGUAGCGGUGAAAUGCGUAGAGAUCGGGAGGAAUACCAGUGGCGAAGGCGGCCUUCUGGACUGACACUGACGCUGAGGUGCGAAAGCGUGGGUAGCAAACAGGAUUAGAUACCCGGGUAGUC